AAUACGGGGGGCUGCAGUGGGGAAUAUUGGACAAUGGGCGAAAGCCUGAUCCAGCCAUGCCGCGUGUGUGAAGAAGGCCUUCGGGUUGUAAAGCACUUUCAGUGGGGAAGAAAGCCUUGGGGCUAAUACCCUCGAGGAAGGACAUCACCCACAGAAGAAGCACCGGCUAACUCCGUCCAGCAGCCGCGGUAAUACGGAGGGUGCGAGCGUUAAUCGGAAUUACUGGGCGUAAAGCGCGCGUAGGCGGUCUGAUAAGCCGGUUGUGAAAGCCCCGGGCUCAACCUGGGAACGGCAUCCGGAACUGUCAGGCUAGAGUGCAGGAGAGGAGGGUAGAAUUCCCGGUGUAGCGGUGAAAUGCGUAGAGAUCGGGAGGAAUACCAGUGGCGAAGGCGGCCUUCUGGACUGACACUGACGCUGAGGUGCGAAAGCGUGGGUAGCAAACAGGAUUAGAUACCCGGGUAGUC
RNAcentral lists this ribosomal RNA (464 nucleotides) under Vreelandella stevensii. Its description in RNAcentral is "partial 16S ribosomal RNA". It matches the Rfam family "Bacterial small subunit ribosomal RNA", at positions 338 to 795 of the family's 1533-position model. Lineage: Bacteria; Pseudomonadati; Pseudomonadota; Gammaproteobacteria; Oceanospirillales; Halomonadaceae. The record is from RNAcentral.